CAGCCAAGUCGUGAGGCGGAGCUAAUCCCUCAAAGCCAUUCUCAGUUCGGAUUGUAGGCUGAAACUCGCCUACAUGAAGCUGGAGUUACUAGUAAUCGCAGAUCAGAAUGCUGCGGUGAAUGCGUUCCCGGGUCUUGUACACACCGCCCGUCACACCACGGAAGUUGGGGGCGCCCGAAGCCACUUAGCUAACCCUUUUGGGAAGCGAGUGUCGAAGGUGAAAUCAAUAACUGGGGUGAAGUCGUAACAAGGUACC
RNAcentral lists this ribosomal RNA (256 nucleotides) under uncultured bacterium. RNAcentral's name for it is "partial 16S ribosomal RNA". It matches the Rfam family "Bacterial small subunit ribosomal RNA", at positions 1247 to 1500 of the family's 1533-position model. The record is from RNAcentral.